Molecule: long non-coding RNA, 869 nt
Organism: Cyprinus carpio (common carp)
Lineage: Eukaryota; Metazoa; Chordata; Actinopteri; Cypriniformes; Cyprinidae
Exons: 2
Source: RefSeq, a predicted model, not a curated record
GCUUAAUUCCAUGAAGUGUGCGAUUAAUUGCUAUUAAUCACAGAAAAAGGGUGAGAUUAAUUAGAUUAAAAAUUCUAAUCUAUUGAUCAGCUCUCAUAGAUGAUAUAUACAUCUAUGGAAUGUCCACAUAAAACAUGGAAACCCAAUGUCUGUCUGUCUCAUAGCUGUCAACCCUCCCGUUUUUUCCGGGUUUCUCACGUAUUUUAGCUCUUUUCCCGCUGUCUUCCCGUUUUAGUAUUUUGCCGUAAAAUAUCCCGUAUUUUUACACUCUGAUUGUGUUAGCUCAGAACACGCAACUAUCUGUGUCUGUGAAGUGGCUUGCACUUGGGUUGCUAGACCUCCAGUAAAGCAGGUGGCAGUAUACAGUAGCUUAGGCUACUAUCGAAGAAGAAGACAGUUGCAGGCGGCGCCGGCGGGCGGGAUGAAGACGGAAAAAGUAGCGGGAAGUGAACUUCGAGUGUAGAGUAGAUGAGUGUGAUGUGCGAUGAUAGAUCAGGCCGCCGACGGCCAAAAUCACCGAAUUAAUCACCAACCAAAACCGAGGACAUUAUGCCGAUAUUUGAGUAAAUGGGAGACCACCUUCCACUACCUGACAAGUAGCCAUGCAAUGUGGGCAAUACAGAAAAUUUGUUCGACAAGCUGGACAUAACACUAAGGAAUCGUGGCAUUCCCUGGAAAAAUCUGAUUGCGUUCAAUUCCGAUAACGCAUUUGUUCAACUGCCUCUUACACACAUUCUUUCUCUCUGUCUGCCUCUCUCUCUCUGUUUCUUUCUCACUCUGUCUCACAACAUUAAGCUAAAACACGUAGUAGCAAAUGAAAAUGUGUAAGUAAUGUUUACCUUGUUCAUAAAUAAAUCACUUUUAACAUA